RNAcentral lists this ribosomal RNA (460 nucleotides) under uncultured bacterium. Its description in RNAcentral is "partial 16S ribosomal RNA". It matches the Rfam family "Bacterial small subunit ribosomal RNA", at positions 338 to 795 of the family's 1533-position model. The record is from RNAcentral.
CCUACGGGUGGCAGCAGUGAGGAAUAUUGGUCAAUGGACGAGAGUCUGAACCAGCCAAGUAGCGUGAAGGAUGACUGCCCUAUGGGUUGUAAACUUCUUUUAUAUGGGAAUAAAACGUUCCACGUGUGGGAUUUUGUAUGUACCAUAUGAAUAAGGAUCGGCUAACUCCGUGCCAGCAGCCGCGGUAAUACGGAGGAUCCGAGCGUUAUCCGGAUUUAUUGGGUUUAAAGGGAGCGUAGGUGGAUUGUUAAGUCAGUUGUGAAAGUUUGCGGCUCAACCGGAGAAUUGCAGUUGAAACUGGCAGUCUUGAGUACAGUAGAGGUGGGCGGAAUUCGUGGUGUAGCGGUGAAAUGCUUAGAUAUCACGAAGAACUCCGAUUGCGAAGGCAGUUCACUGGACUGCAACUGACACUGAGGCUCGAAAGUGUGGGUAUCAAACAGGAUUAGAUACCCCAGUAGUC